This 495-nucleotide ribosomal RNA is filed under the name uncultured bacterium. Its description in RNAcentral is "partial 16S ribosomal RNA". It matches the Rfam family "Bacterial small subunit ribosomal RNA", at positions 28 to 507 of the family's 1533-position model. The record is from RNAcentral.
GACGAACGCUGGCGGCGUGCCUAAUACAUGCAAGUAGAACGCUGAAGGAGGAGCUUGCUUCUCUGGAUGAGUUGCGAACGGGUGAGUAACGCGUAGGUAACCUGCCUGGUAGCGGGGGAUAACUAUUGGAAACGAUAGCUAAUACCGCAUAACAGUAGAUAUCGCAUGAUAUCUACUUGAAAGGUGCAAUUGCAUCACUACCAGAUGGACCUGCGUUGUAUUAGCUAGUUGGUGAGGUAACGGCUCACCAAGGCGACGAUACAUAGCCGACCUGAGAGGGUGAUCGGCCACACUGGGACUGAGACACGGCCCAGACUCCUACGGGAGGCAGCAGUAGGGAAUCUUCGGCAAUGGACGGAAGUCUGACCGAGCAACGCCGCGUGAGUGAAGAAGGUUUUCGGAUCGUAAAGCUCUGUUGUAAGAAAAGAACGAGUGUGAGAGUGGAAAGUUCACACUGUGACGGUAUCUUACCAGAAAGGGACGGCUAACUACGUG